GCAUGUUUGUUUCCUUUGUUUGUUUGUUUUUUGUUGUUGUUUUUUCUGCUUCAAGAAGCGCAGUAAAAUCCCAUGAUUGGGCAGAUGUUAGCAUCAUUCUGAAUCUGAAUAGAAUGGGCCUGUUACUUCUUUGUUCUAUUUAGGCGACAACUUUUCUAUCAAACGCGAAAAAUAUCAACUGAACUGGAACCCGACGGUCAAAGUUUGUAAAACCGAUUUGCAAUAUCGAUAGCGAUUGUGACGUACCGAUGUUCAUAACAAUGUCGUCUGUAUCUCUUUUUUUCCUAUAGAUUGUUUUCUACUCGACUGAGAUAUUUUUACUUGCUGGACUAACAGACAGACAAACUGCGUUAGCUUCUCUUGCAUGGGGUGCUGUCUUCUGCACAGUAACUACUUUUGAGUACUUCGCCAAUAUAUCAAGAUUUCAACGGAAGCCUUUUCUUCUCUCAAUGUACGGGCUACUAACGCUGAGUGCAUCUGCUUUGACAGUGUUUCUUAUUUUUGAGCACCAUGUCUCAUGGCUAUCAUGGUUUGCCCUCAUAGCUGUCUGUGUCUUUUUCAUUGCAUACGCACUAGGUCCAGCAAUAUUCACCCCAUUAGUCUGUUCUGAACUGUGGUCUGUUGGUCCUAGACAGGCCGCCCUCUCCGUUACACAACAGAUAAACUGGUGGGUCGACGUCAUCAUCCAGUUCAUCUUCCCCGUUCUUUUAGUGAGUACAAUUUUUAGCUGUGACGAUUAA
Strongylocentrotus purpuratus (purple sea urchin) is the source of this 740-nucleotide long non-coding RNA. RefSeq lists it as uncharacterized. NCBI's taxonomy places the organism in Eukaryota, Metazoa, Echinodermata, Echinoidea, Camarodonta, Strongylocentrotidae. The record is from RefSeq and is a predicted model, not a curated record. The transcript has 4 exons.